GCCUUCGUGGUGCAGUGGUCAGCACGCUGGGCGCGUAUUCCAGAAGUCAGGGGUUCGAGUCCCGGCGAAGGCG
This 73-nucleotide transfer RNA is filed under the name Stegodyphus mimosarum. It matches the Rfam family "tRNA". From Rfam's summary of the family: Transfer RNA (tRNA) molecules are approximately 80 nucleotides in length. Their secondary structure includes four short double-helical elements and three loops (D, anti-codon, and T loops). Further hydrogen bonds mediate the characteristic L-shaped molecular structure. tRNAs have two regions of fundamental functional importance: the anti-codon, which is responsible for specific mRNA codon recognition, and the 3' end, to which the tRNAs corresponding amino acid is attached (by aminoacyl-tRNA synthetases). tRNAs cope with the degeneracy of the genetic code in two manners: having more than one tRNA (with a specific anti-codon) for a particular amino acid; and 'wobble' base-pairing, i.e. permitting non-standard base-pairing at the 3rd anti-codon position. Lineage: Eukaryota; Metazoa; Arthropoda; Arachnida; Araneae; Eresidae. The record is from Rfam by way of RNAcentral.